This 446-nucleotide ribosomal RNA is filed under the name Ovalipes punctatus. Its description in RNAcentral is "partial 12S small subunit ribosomal RNA". The record is from RNAcentral. Lineage: Eukaryota; Metazoa; Arthropoda; Malacostraca; Decapoda; Ovalipidae. RNAcentral also lists the same sequence under 1 other name.
AAAAGUGAAAUUAGAUUAUUUUUUAUAGAAAAUAAACUCUAGUCGAAACAAAAAAAUUUUAGAGAUAAACUAGGAUUAGAUACCCUAUUAUACUAAAAAGAAGCUUGUAGGCCAAACUAUUAAUAGAUAUGUUCUUUAAAUUUGAAGAAUUUGGCGGUGAUUUAGUCUUGUCAGAGGAACCUGUUUUUGAAUCGAUAAACCACGUAAAAUCUUGCUUGAGUUUGUAUACCGUCAUUAUCAGAUAAUUUUUAUAGAAUAAAUUGUUAAGUAAGUCUAAAACUAAAAAAUUAGAUCAAGGUGCAGCUUAUAGUCAAGCUAAAAUGGGUUACAAUAAACUUUAAUUUAUUAUGGAUAGAGUGCUCUGGAAAGAGGAUUUGAUUGUAAAAGAAAUUAGUAUGUUCUUUAGAUAUAAGCCCUAAAUCAUGUACAUAUCGCCCGUCGCUUUC